RNAcentral lists this ribosomal RNA (229 nucleotides) under uncultured Lactobacillus sp. Its description in RNAcentral is "partial 16S ribosomal RNA". It matches the Rfam family "Bacterial small subunit ribosomal RNA", at positions 134 to 354 of the family's 1533-position model. The record is from RNAcentral. Lineage: Bacteria; Bacillati; Bacillota; Bacilli; Lactobacillales; Lactobacillaceae.
UAGUCUGGGAUACCACUUGGAAACAGGUGCUAAUACCGGAUAAGAAAGCAGAUCGCAUGAUCAGCUUUUAAAAGGCGGCGUAAGCUGUCGCUAUGGGAUGGCCCCGCGGUGCAUUAGCUAGUUGGUAAGGUAAAGGCUUACCAAGGCGAUGAUGCAUAGCCGAGUUGAGAGACUGAUCGGCCACAUUGGGACUGAGACACGGCCCAAACUCCUACGGGAGGCAGCAGAG